GAAAAAAAAGGCCGUCAUGGCAAUAUUCAACAAGAACACAAGUGCCCAGUGCUUGUUGGCUCUUGUGCUCAUCGCUACUGUCAUUUCGUCUUGCGAUGCGUUUGGCCCAGGUACGUGCGUCUCUGACCUAACUAUAAGUCAAUGUAGUUUUGCCAUGUGAUGCUAAUUUUCUAUGUAUUUCACAAUAUUGAGUUGUAUGGAUCUUAUGGCAUCUGGUCCAUGCUGAAGCGUAACUUGCCAUGUUGUGCGGGUAUUCUUCUAACAAUGUUUUUUUGUGUGAACAUGUAGAAGGAGGAUGUUUCAGGCCUUUCCUGAGUUGCGAUCUGGACUUAUGCAGGCGUGACUGCAAUGGUUUAUUUGCCUCUUGCCAAAUGAUAGGCGAGUUUCACCACCGAUGUUGUUGCGCUCCCAAGAAACUCAGUGCAUCUAUUGAUAAGAAUAGUCAUCCUUGAGAUAUGCAUUCCGAAAUUAUAGUUUAUAUGUCACUGCUUUUUCCUGGAUCCAAUUUUGCAUGACUGAGUUAAAUUUAUCGCAAUUGAAAAAAUAUCGCUCCCGAGAUAUUUACGUAUCGCAUGAAACCAUAAUGCUUUGUUUGGAUGUUCAUAUUCAAACUUCAACAAUGAUAUUGGGGCCAAUAUCAAUUCAACUUGGACAUUGACAUUGACACGUAAGAUAAAUUCUGCUGUUUGGAUGCUGAUAUAUUUGACACUUAAACAGUGACAUUGAGACCUGUAAGUGCAUCUAGUGCCCCUUAGUGAUUUUGGUGUAUUGAAGACUUAGAGGUUAAGAGACUAAUGUGUUUGUGACUGUACAUAGGUCUAUAAGUCUAUGAGGAGUUUGAUAUUUACAGAAAAAGUCGACCCCUAAAAAUGAAUGUCUUCAACUGAAGACUUUGGCUUUCUGAAGACUUUGAAAGUGAAGAAAUUGGUGUGACCGUGAAGACUUGAUAUUCCUGCGAGGAACAUGAAGCGUGAAGACUUUUGUUUUCGUAGUUUCAUUUUCUCUUUCUUGACUCAUAGGAAACACCAUACUGUUAAAGGGGGUCGAGGAAAAACUAAGAAAAAGUUUCCAAGUGAUGCUCAUCUCAAAAUCCUACACCUACCAAUCCCUUCGAGUGAAGCCAUUAGAAAUCUCAUACAGAUCAGUCAAUUUCUUCAGUGACAGAGACGAAGUUCUUCUGGUCUCUGAGAAUUUGUUCUGACUGAGGAGAUAGGAAUUCGCCAGUGCGGAUUGCCUACAAAUGAGGAACAUGAUAGUCCUGAGGAAUUUGAAC
This 1273-nucleotide long non-coding RNA is filed under the name Triticum aestivum (bread wheat). Its description in RNAcentral is "long non-coding RNA (TAES_LNC013889)". Lineage: Eukaryota; Viridiplantae; Streptophyta; Magnoliopsida; Poales; Poaceae. The record is from RNAcentral.